Molecule: unclassified non-coding RNA, 379 nt
Filed under: uncultured Lysobacteraceae bacterium
Lineage: Bacteria; Pseudomonadati; Pseudomonadota; Gammaproteobacteria; Lysobacterales; Lysobacteraceae
Description: uncultured Xanthomonadaceae bacterium contains 16S-23S intergenic spacer region
Source: RNAcentral
UCCGGUUUGUCACCGGCGGUCUCCUUAGAGUUCCCACCAUUACGUGCUGGCAACUAAGGACAAGGGUUGCGCUCGUUGCGGGACUUAACCCAACAUCUCACGACACGAGCUGACGACAGCCAUGCAGCACCUGUGUUCCGGUUCCCGAAGGCACCCCCCGAUCUCUCAGGGGUUCCGGACAUGUCAAGGCCAGGUAAGGUUCUUCGCGUUGCAUCGAAUUAAACCACAUACUCCACCGCUUGUGCGGGCCCCCGUCAAUUCCUUUGAGUUUCAGUCUUGCGACCGUACUCCCCAGGCGGCGAACUUAACGCGUUAGCUUCGAUACUGAGUGCCUAGUUGCACCCAACAUCCAGUUCGCAUCGUUUAGGGCGUGGACUAC